UACAGAGGUCUCAAGCGUUGUUCGGAUUCAUUGGGCGUAAAGGGUGCGUAGGUGGCGGGGUAAGUCUGGUGUGAAAUCUCGGGGCUCAACCCCGAAACUGCACUGGAUACUGCCUUGCUAGAGUACUGGAGAGGAGAUUGGAAUUUACGGUGUAGCAGUGAAAUGCGUAGAUAUCGUAAGGAAGACCAGGGGCGAAGGCGAAUCUCUGGACAGUUACUGACACUGAGGCACGAAGGCCAGGGGAGCAAACGGG
Molecule: ribosomal RNA, 253 nt
Filed under: uncultured bacterium
Lineage: Bacteria
Description: partial 16S ribosomal RNA
Rfam family: Bacterial small subunit ribosomal RNA
Source: RNAcentral